GGCGGGGCAGUGGGGGUCCCCUCCCGCCCCCGGGGAGCAGAAGCCGGGCAUUGCCCGGCGCAGUGGGCCCGGCCUGGGUUCUCAUCCCCUGUGAGAGGAGACCCAGCCGGCCGUUUGCCGAGGGUCGGUUCUGACGUGCCAGAGCAGGUGGCUGGGCUGAAAUUAACGCAAAGCCGGGGAGUCUGGCCACGUAACGGGCGUCCCUCGCAGCCCGGCCCCGCUCACUCAUCCCCUCUCUUCGCUGGGACGCUCACCGGGUGACGGGAGCGAGUUUAGACACGCAGGUGCUCGGACGGAACAAUAUACCAACGACUUUGGAUGCAGCAAACCUUUAGACCACCUGGAAAGCAAACUGCAGAAUGGAGCAGCUGCAUUAAAUAACUUAGAGCAACAAACACUUUGCAGCCAUUCCCAGGGUAUAAUGACCUCCCUUGACUGUCAUCUACUGCUGCGAAUCAGUUGGUACUUUCCCACCUAGGAUAUCAACACUUGUCAAAGGACACCCAUCCGUUUUAACCAGUGAGAAUGGCAAGAACUGCAAACCUGGUCUACAGAACCUUAAAGUUCACAUCUCAGUACUUUAAUUAGGUGCCUUGAGUCUCCCAAGUUUUAAGUAUCUAUUGUGCCUACUCUAUCCUGUGGUAUUAAACUAUCUCUGAGUUUUAAAUACAGAGUAAGGAAAAUACAUAGAUUUAGAUAAAUUCA
Strigops habroptila (Kakapo) is the source of this 705-nucleotide long non-coding RNA. RefSeq lists it as uncharacterized. Lineage: Eukaryota; Metazoa; Chordata; Aves; Psittaciformes; Psittacidae. The transcript is spliced from 2 exons. The record is from RefSeq and is a predicted model, not a curated record.